CAGCAGUGGGGAAUAUUGGACAAUGGGCGAAAGCCUGAUCCAGCCAUGCCGCGUGUGUGAAGAAGGUCUUCGGAUUGUAAAGCACUUUAAGUUGGGAGGAAGGGCAGUAAGUUAAUACCUUGCUGUUUUGACGUUACCGACAGAAUAAGCACCGGCUAACUUCGUGCCAGCAGCCGCGGUAAUACGAAGGGUGCAAGCGUUAAUCGGAAUUACUGGGCGUAAAGCGCGCGUAGGUGGUUCGUUAAGUUGGAUGUGAAAGCCCCGGGCUCAACCUGGGAACUGCAUCCAAAACUGGCGAGCUAGAGUAUGGCAGAGGGUGGUGGAAUUUCCUGUGUAGCGGUGAAAUGCGUAGAUAUAGGAAGGAACACCAGUGGCGAAGGCGACCACCUGGGCUAAUACUGACACUGAGGUGCGAAAGCGUGGGGAGCAAACAGGAUUAGA
Molecule: ribosomal RNA, 441 nt
Filed under: uncultured Pseudomonas sp.
Lineage: Bacteria; Pseudomonadati; Pseudomonadota; Gammaproteobacteria; Pseudomonadales; Pseudomonadaceae
Description: bacterial SSU rRNA
Rfam family: Bacterial small subunit ribosomal RNA
Source: RNAcentral